UGCCGACAUGUUUUCCAGACGACU
RNAcentral lists this non-coding RNA (24 nucleotides) under Arabidopsis thaliana (thale cress). The record is from RNAcentral. Lineage: Eukaryota; Viridiplantae; Streptophyta; Magnoliopsida; Brassicales; Brassicaceae.